AUACGGAGGGUGCAAGCGUUAUCCGGAUUCAUUGGGUUUAAAGGGUACGUAGGCGGAUAGAUAAGUUAGUGGUGAAAUCCCGAAGCUCAACUUCGGAACUGCCAUUAAAACUGUCUAUCUUGAAUUUGGUUGAAGUGGGCGGAAUAUGACAUGUAGCGGUGAAAUGCAUAGAUAUGUCAUGGAACACCGAUAGUGAAGACAGCUCACUAAGCCAAUAUUGACGCUGAGGUACGAAAGCAUGGGUAGCGAACAGGAUUAGAAACCCCGGUAGUCC
RNAcentral lists this ribosomal RNA (274 nucleotides) under uncultured bacterium. RNAcentral describes it as "partial 16S ribosomal RNA". It matches the Rfam family "Bacterial small subunit ribosomal RNA", at positions 523 to 796 of the family's 1533-position model. The record is from RNAcentral.